This 497-nucleotide ribosomal RNA is filed under the name uncultured bacterium. Its description in RNAcentral is "partial 16S ribosomal RNA". It matches the Rfam family "Bacterial small subunit ribosomal RNA", at positions 28 to 507 of the family's 1533-position model. The record is from RNAcentral.
GAUGAACGCUGGCGGCGUGCCUAAUACAUGCAAGUCGAGCGAACAGAUGAGGAGCUUGCUCCUCUGACGUUAGCGGCGGACGGGUGAGUAACACGUGGAUAACCUACCUAUAAGACUGGGAUAACUUCGGGAAACCGGAGCUAAUACCGGAUAAUAUAUUGAACCGCAUGGGUCAAUAGUGAAAGACGGUUUUGAUGUCACUUAUAGAUGGAUCCGCGCCGCAUUAGCUAGUUGGUAAGGUAACGGCUUACCAAGGCAACGAUGCGUAGCCGACCUGGGAGGGUGAUCGGCCACACUGGAACUGUGACCCGGUCCAGACUCCUACGGGAGGCCGCAGUAGGGAAUCUUCCGCAAUGGGCGAAAGCCUGACGGAGCAACGCCGCGUGAGUGAUGAAGGUCUUCGGAUCGUAAAACUCUGUUAUUAGGGAAGAACAAAUGUGUAAGUAACUAUGCACGUCUUGACGGUACCUAAUCAGAAAGCCACGGCUAACUACGUG